RNAcentral lists this ribosomal RNA (464 nucleotides) under uncultured bacterium. Its description in RNAcentral is "partial 16S ribosomal RNA". It matches the Rfam family "Bacterial small subunit ribosomal RNA", at positions 339 to 795 of the family's 1533-position model. The record is from RNAcentral.
CUACGGGCGGCUGCAGUGGGGAAUAUUGGACAAUGGGCGCAAGCCUGAUCCAGCCAUACCGCGUGUGUGAAGAAGGCCUUCGGGUUGUAAAGCACUUUAAGCAGGGAGAAAAAGUUAUAAGUUAAUACCUUAUAACCGUGAUGUUACCUGCAGAAUAAGCACCGGCUAAUUCCGUGCCAGCAGCCGCGGUAAUACGGAAGGUGCAAGCGUUAAUCGGAAUUACUGGGCGUAAAGCGCGCGUAGGUGGUUUGUUAAGUUGGAUGUGAAAGCCCUGGGCUCAACCUAGGAACUGCAUCCAAAACUAACUAGCUAGAGUACGAUAGAGGGAGGUAGAAUUCAUAGUGUAGCGGUAGAAUGCGUAGAUAUUAUGAAGAAUACCAGUGGCGAAGGCGGCCUCCUGGAUCUGUACUGACACUGAGGUGCGAAAGCGUGGGUAGCGAACAGGAUUAGAUACCCGCGUAGUC